GAUCCCAUCAGAACUCCGCAGUUAAGCGUGCUUGGGCGAGAGUAGUACUAGGAUGGGUGACCCCCUGGGAAGUCCUCGUGUUGCAUCCUU
RNAcentral lists this ribosomal RNA (90 nucleotides) under Solanum maglia. The record is from RNAcentral. Lineage: Eukaryota; Viridiplantae; Streptophyta; Magnoliopsida; Solanales; Solanaceae.